UCGCACCUGCCGAUUGAAUGGUCCGGUGAAGCCUCGGGAUUGCCAUGAGUUUCCUUUGGUGGGAGUUCGCGGCGAGAACUUGUCUAAACCUUGUCAUUUAGAGGAAGGUG
Molecule: ribosomal RNA, 110 nt
Filed under: uncultured eukaryote
Lineage: Eukaryota
Description: partial small subunit ribosomal RNA
Rfam family: Eukaryotic small subunit ribosomal RNA
Source: RNAcentral